Molecule: ribosomal RNA, 226 nt
Filed under: Paraburkholderia sp. 31.1
Lineage: Bacteria; Pseudomonadati; Pseudomonadota; Betaproteobacteria; Burkholderiales; Burkholderiaceae
Description: partial 23S ribosomal RNA
Rfam family: Bacterial large subunit ribosomal RNA
Source: RNAcentral
UGUGAAAUGCGAUGGGGGGACGGAUCGCGGAAGGUUGUCCGGGUGUUGGAAGUCCCGGUCCUUGCAUUGGAGAAGGCGCUUUGGCAAAUCCGGGCGCGCAAUUCAAGGGUGCGAGGCGAGCCACUUCGGUGGCGAAGCAACUGGAAGGGGUUCCAGGAAAAGCCUCUAAGCUUCAGUUUCACAGUGACCGUACCGCAAACCGACACAGGUGGGCGAGAUGAGUAUU